Molecule: ribosomal RNA, 573 nt
Filed under: uncultured bacterium
Lineage: Bacteria
Description: partial 16S ribosomal RNA
Rfam family: Bacterial small subunit ribosomal RNA
Source: RNAcentral
UGAGGAAUAUUGGUCAAUGGGCGAGAGCCUGAACCAGCCAAGUCGCGUGAAGGAAGACUGCCUUAUGGGUUGUAAACUUCUUUUAUACAGGAAUAAAAAGGCUUACGUGUAGGCCAUUGCAAGUACUGUAUGAAUAAGCAUCGGCUAACUCCGUGCCAGCAGCCGCGGUAAUACGGAGGAUGCGAGCGUUAUCCGGAUUUAUUGGGUUUAAAGGGUGCGCAGGCGGGCUUUUAAGUCAGCGGUGAAAUCUGGACGCUUAACGUCCAAACUGCCGUUGAAACUGGGAGUCUUGAGUAUGGAUGAAGUAGGCGGAAUUCGUUGUGUAGCGGUGACAUGCAUAGAUAUAACGAGGAACUCCGAUUGCGUAGGCAGCUUACUAAGCCAUAACUGACGCUCAUGCACGAAAGCGUGGGGAUCAAACAGGAUUAGAUACCAUGGUAGUCCACGCCGUAAAACGAUGAUUACUAGUUGUAUGCGAUAUGAUAGUAUGUGACUAAGCGAAAGCGAUAAGUAAUCCACCUGGGGAGUACGCCGCAACGGUGAAACUCAAAGGAAUUGACGGGGUCAUAGCUG